RNAcentral lists this ribosomal RNA (1502 nucleotides) under human gut metagenome. RNAcentral describes it as "bacterial LSU rRNA". It matches the Rfam family "Bacterial large subunit ribosomal RNA", at positions 1351 to 2925 of the family's 2925-position model. The record is from RNAcentral.
UUUCUUGGGGAAGGUUCGUCCGCCCAAGGUAAGCCGGGAGCUAAGGCGAGGCCGCGAGGCGUAGUCGAUGCACAUACGGUAGAAAUUCCGUAGCCACCGAACUUUAAACCAGAAGGACACUUUCAGAUAGCGGGACCCAGCCGUUGGUAGAGCUGGGCGCAAGGGACCGAAAUAUAGUAGGGAAGUCCGCGAUGCUGGGAGGCGAGAAAAGCUCUGGUGUAUACUAAGGUGCCCGUACCGCAAACCGACACAGGUAGAUGAGGAGAGAAUCCUAAGGCCAACGGGAGAAGGGUUGUUAAGGAACUCGGCAAAUUGACCCCGUAACUUCGGAAGAAGGGGAGCCUCGAAAGAGGCCGCAGUGAAUAGGCCCAAGCAACUGUUUACCAAAAACACAGGUCUAUGCUAAAUCGAAAGAUGACGUAUAUGGGCUGACGCCUGCCCGGUGCCGGAAGGUUAAGAGGAGAGCUUAGCGCAAGCGAAGGUUUGAAUUGAAGCCCCGGUAAACGGCGGCCGUAACUAUAACGGUCCUAAGGUAGCGAAAUUCCUUGUCAGGUAAGUUCUGACCCGCACGAAUGGCGUAAUGAUUUGGGCACUGUCUCAACAGCCCGCCCGGCGAAAUUGUAGUACUGGUGAAGAUGCCAGUUACCCGCAACUAGACGGAAAGACCCCAUGGAGCUUUACUGCAGUUUAAUACUGGGAAUCGGUAAUUCAUGUACAGGAUAGGUGGGAGACUGAGAAGCAUGGCCGUCAGGUCGUGUGGAGUCACCGGUGGGAUACCACUCUUGGAUUGCUGGUUUCCUAACCUGCGGCCCUGAAUCGGGUCGGGGGACACUGUUAGACGGGCAGUUUGACUGGGGCGGUCGCCUCCAAAAGAGUAACGGAGGCGCUCAAAGGUUCGUUCAGCACGGACGGAAAUCGUGCAUUGAGUGUAAACGCAUAAACGAGCCUAACUGCGAGACCGACGGGUCGAGCAGUAACGAAAGUUGGAGUUAGUGAUCCGGUGGUAUGUGAGUGGAAAUGCCAUCGCUCAACGGAUAAAAGCUACCCUGGGGAUAACAGGCUGAUCUCCCCCAAGAGUCCACAUCGACGGGGAGGUUUGGCACCUCGAUGUCGGCUCAUCGCAUCCUGGGGCUGUAUUCGGUCCCAAGGGUUUGGCUGUUCGCCAAUUAAAGCGGCACGCGAGCUGGGUUCAGAACGUCGUGAGACAGUUCGGUCCCUAUCUGUUGCGGGCGUAAGAGAUUUGAAGGGAGCUGUCCUUAGUACGAGAGGACCGGGAUGGACUGACCGCUGGUGCACCAGUUGUUCUGCCAAGAGCAUAGCUGGGUAGCUACGUCGGGACGAGAUAAACGCUGAAGGCAUCUAAGCGUGAAACUCCCCCUAAGAUAAGAUCUCUCAUCCUUUAUGGAGUAAGGCUCGUCGUAGACUAUGACGUUGAUAGGUCAGAGGUGGAAGCGCCGUAAGGUGUGUAGCUGACUGAUACUAAUAAGCCGAGGGCUUGACCU